RNAcentral lists this ribosomal RNA (433 nucleotides) under uncultured Anaerovorax sp. RNAcentral's name for it is "bacterial SSU rRNA". It matches the Rfam family "Bacterial small subunit ribosomal RNA", at positions 341 to 792 of the family's 1533-position model. Lineage: Bacteria; Bacillati; Bacillota; Clostridia; Peptostreptococcales; Anaerovoracaceae. The record is from RNAcentral.
ACGGGAGGCAGCAGUGGGGAAUAUUGCACAAUGGGCGCAAGCCUGAUGCAGCAACGCCGCGUGAAGGAUGAAGGCCUUUGGGUCGUAAACUUCUGUCCUUGAGGAAGAUAAUGACGGUACUCUUGGAGGAAGCCCCGGCUAACUACGUGCCAGCAGCCGCGGUAAUACGUAGGGGGCAAGCGUUAUCCGGAAUUAUUGGGCGUAAAGAGUGCGUAGGCGGUUCUUUAAGCGCGGGGUGAAAGGCAGUGGCUCAACCAUUGUUAGCCUUGCGAACUGGAGGACUUGAGUGCUGGAGAGGAAAGCGGAAUUCCUAGUGUAGCGGUGAAAUGCGUAGAUAUUAGGAGGAACACCAGUGGCGAAGGCGGCUUUCUGGACAGUAACUGACGCUGAGGCACGAAAGUGUGGGGAGCAAACAGGAUUAGAUACCCUGGUA